CCUACGGGAGGCAGCAGUGAGGAAUAUUGGUCAAUGGGCGCUAGCCUGAACCAGCCAAGUAGCGUGAAGGAUGACUGCGCUAUGGGUUGUAAACUUCUUUUAUAUGGGAAUAAAGUGCAGUAUGUAUACUGCUUUGCAUGUACCUUAUGAAUAAGGAUCGGCUAACUCCGUGCCAGCAGCCGCGGUAAUACAGAGGAUGCGAGCGUUAUCCGGAUUUAUUGGGUUUAAAGGGAGCGUAGGCGGUUUGUUAAGUCAGUUGUGAAAGUUUGCGGCUCAACCGUAAAAUUGCAGUUGAUACUGGCAGCCUUGAGUACAGUAGAGGUAGGCGGAAUUCGUGGUGUAGCGGUGAAAUGCUUAGAUAUCACGAAGAACUCCGAUUGCGAAGGCAGCCUGCUGGACUGUAACUGACGCUGAUGCUCGAAAGUGUGGGUAUCAAACAGGAUUAGAUACCCGAGUAGUC
This 460-nucleotide ribosomal RNA is filed under the name uncultured bacterium. RNAcentral describes it as "partial 16S ribosomal RNA". It matches the Rfam family "Bacterial small subunit ribosomal RNA", at positions 338 to 795 of the family's 1533-position model. The record is from RNAcentral.